UACGGAGGGUGCCAACGUUUCUCGGAAUCAUUGGGCGUAAAGCGCACGUAGGCGGCCCGGUUAGUCGGAUGUGAAAGCCCUCGGCUCAACUGAGGAAGUGCAUUCGAAACUGCUGGACUUGAGUACGGGAGAGGGAUGCGGAAUUCCCGGUGUAGAAGUGAAAUUCGUAGAUAUCGGGAGGAACACCAGUGGCGAAGGCGGCAUCCUGGACCGAUACUGACGCUGAGGUGCGAAAGCGUGGGGAGCAAACAGG
Molecule: ribosomal RNA, 253 nt
Filed under: uncultured bacterium
Lineage: Bacteria
Description: partial 16S ribosomal RNA
Rfam family: Bacterial small subunit ribosomal RNA
Source: RNAcentral